CAUGAUAUAGCUUAACCAAAGCAUCUCGCUUACACCGGGAAAAUGUAUGUGAAAAUCAAACUAUCAUGA
Molecule: transfer RNA, 69 nt
Filed under: Schismaderma carens
Lineage: Eukaryota; Metazoa; Chordata; Amphibia; Anura; Bufonidae
Description: tRNA-Val
Rfam family: tRNA
About the family: Transfer RNA (tRNA) molecules are approximately 80 nucleotides in length. Their secondary structure includes four short double-helical elements and three loops (D, anti-codon, and T loops). Further hydrogen bonds mediate the characteristic L-shaped molecular structure. tRNAs have two regions of fundamental functional importance: the anti-codon, which is responsible for specific mRNA codon recognition, and the 3' end, to which the tRNAs corresponding amino acid is attached (by aminoacyl-tRNA synthetases). tRNAs cope with the degeneracy of the genetic code in two manners: having more than one tRNA (with a specific anti-codon) for a particular amino acid; and 'wobble' base-pairing, i.e. permitting non-standard base-pairing at the 3rd anti-codon position.
Source: RNAcentral